This 3749-nucleotide long non-coding RNA is filed under the name Theobroma cacao (cacao). Its description in RNAcentral is "long non-coding RNA (TCAC_LNC001901)". Lineage: Eukaryota; Viridiplantae; Streptophyta; Magnoliopsida; Malvales; Malvaceae. The record is from RNAcentral.
UCUUAUGGCCGGCCAAGCAAGGGAACAAAGAGAAAAAGAGAAGAACAAACCCUAGGAAGGAAAAAUUCAAGAGAAAUUGUUGGAUUUUAAGGAAUCAAGCAAGUAAAGGUAAGAUUUUCAAUUUUAGCUUAAGAUUUACCUUACCCAUGCUUUCUUUUUCAUUUUCUAUGGAUGAAACACAAGUUUCCAUGAAGGAUUGCAUGCUGGCUGAACUUAGAGAGAGAGAUUUUGAUGGUGGAUUUUGCUAGAUUUCAUGAUAUCUUAGUGUUUUUAGUUGUUUGAUGAUGUUUGACAUGAAAAACAAGCAAGAAAAUCACAUGCCCUUCAACAACCCAUUUUGGCCGAAUUUUAUGGUGACAUAUUGAUGAUGGAUUUUGUUGUAUUUCAAGUUAUUUAGCUAGUAAUUGAUGAUUUAUGGUAUCGGAUAUUGAAAUCGGAAUGAAAUUCCAUUACGGUGAAUUAAGUCACAAUUAAGCUUAUUGAGGUACUUAGGUGUAUUUGGAAUUUUAGAAGUGAAAUGAAUAUAUUUGAAGUUGAAUCGGAUGUUUUGGUUAAUUUAACAGUGUAUAGUUUGAGUUAGGUCGACUACAAAUUCAGUCCGAUCAUAAUUGAACCCACGUAGAACACCGUCUUUAAGUGAUUAUUCAAACAAUUCUCACUCAAUUUCAUGCAUUCAUAUAGGCCUGAAAUAAUUUUAUAAUAGUUUGGCACGAAUAUAUUGAAUUAUGUGUUGUGUAUUAUGUAUAGGUGGUGAGCCUUCUGAUAAGGGUAAAGAUAUUGUACCCGAGGACCAAGAAUAGGAGUACUCCAAACUCCCGCUAUUGUGAGUAACAGACUUUCAUCUUAACUAUCUAAAGUUGUUUCUACUCGUUUUUAUGUUUUAAAGAAUAAUGAGUUUAAAUGGUAAAUUAUUUUGUUUUAAAAUUGAAUUGUUGGUUAAAUGAAAUGAGUUUUAUAACUUAUUUUGAAAUUGAAUACUGGUUUUGGAAAUUGAGUAAGUGGAGACUAUAUACUCGUGUUUUGAUAUAUGGUUUGAAUUAGUGGCUUAUGACAAUGUGAUGGCAUGAAUGGUUGGAUUUAUUUUUUUUGUGGAAUAUAUAAACUGUUUUGUUUUGUCGUGACACAGGCUGGAUAAUAUUAUAUUAGCCACGUCAUGCUGUUGAAAUGUUUAUUGAUUUGGUGGGUUAUUUGAUUAGCUUACUGUAUUGGGCGGGUUUCCGUGGACCAGCCUAUUAGAGGGGUAAGGUAAACCCCGUUAUAUUUUACCUUAGUAUGAGAGGCGCGGAAGGUAUCUUCUAAGGUAUAUUUAGAGUUCACUUCACACCGAACCACUACGUGAAGGUGAAACUCAGCCAACGCCAAGGAAUGACUACGUUUUUAAACGUAAAACAUGUUUUAUAUGUAUAUAUCGUUGUAACAGCCUUGACGGACUCGAUUAGAUGCUUGGGCCAAGGUGUCUCCGAGUGCGAGUUUUGGCACGAGCCAAGUUUUAAGAGAGUCAUAAGCCUUUCUGAUUUAUUUUGAUGAAAUGUAAUUAUUUUAUAUGAAUUGAAAUGAGUUUUGAAUGUUAUGAAUUAUAUUAUGAUGGGAUAAUUUAACUAUCUCUAUUUACUCGGUUUUAGAUCUUAUAGAAGAACUUUUGCUUAAUCACUGGGUUUAUAAAAACUUACCCCUUCAUUUCACCCAUAUUAGGGUCAAGACAGUUUGUAGACAGCCGAUUUUGUUGAGGAUUGCUUUUGGAUCUGCAUCCUUAGAAAUAGAAGGUCUACAGUCUUGCAUAUUUUCGUUUAUAUCGGGGCCCACAUCUCAUUGUAGAAUAUUUUGUAUACAUGUCUGCGUGUGCCACUGUAUGUAUGAAUUUCUUUUGCUUUUACGCUACAAAAAUUAUUUACGCAGAGUUCUAUAAAUAUUCUUUUUUAAGAAAAUAGAAUAUUUUAUUUAAUAUUUUUAUUUAGUUUGAUUUGCCAUAAUUUCAUUUUAAAUGGAUGAUUUAGAUUACUAAAAUUAUUUUUAGAUAAAAAAUGUAUGUUUUUCGAUCGUAUGCUGUAUUUUUACUAGGUUUCAAAAUUUUCGGGUAAAAAUGACCAAAAUACCCCUGUGUGGCAGAAAUUAUUUUUUUGUUUGUUUUGAUUUAAAAAUAGUUUAUAUUCCCUUAAAACAUGAUAUUUAGUAACUAUUGCUCAUAGGGGAGAUAUAAAACUGAUGCGAGAGCCUUGCGGGGUUUCGGUUGACAUUCUGGGUAAUGAAUGUAUAUCGAGACAUCGCGGCGGAUGUCACGGGCUCAAAGAGAGUACCGGGUCGUGACAAUUAUGCUUAGAAACAUAGCACUACAAAUCAAAGAUAUAAUUAAGUAAUAUCAAGAAUAUCAUGUAUUAUGCUUUGUACCAUAGGAUCCCAAAUCAAGGAUAUUAGGCAUUAUGCUUAGAAUCAUGGCACUACAAAUCAAGGAUAAUUAAAUUGUGGAUAUCAACUACAUAUCGUGAUAUAUAAAGGAUAUCAAGCAAUAUAAUUGGAACUGUAGAACCUCAUAUUAAGAAUAUUAAGCAUUAUACUUGGAAACGUAACACUACAAAUCAAGGAUAUAAUUAAGCAAUAUCAAGGAUAUCAUCUGUUAUGCUUGGAACCGUAGUACCCUAGAUUAAGGAUAUGAAGCAUUAGGCUUGGAAGUGUAGCAUUACAGAUCAAGGAUAUCAAAUAUAAUGAUUUGAACUAUAUCACUAUAGAUCAAUGAUAUCAAGCAUUGUGUUUAGUACCAUAACAUCCUCUAUCAAGGAUAUUAUUUAUUAUACUUGGAGUUGUAGCACUAUAAAUCAAAAAUAUUUAGUAGAUAUCAUGACAUAGUGCUAACUCUAUUAUAUAAAGUUAUCUUGCACUAUUUGGGCAUUAAAAGAGCUAAGUCCAUGUGUGUUUUUAGUUGUGUUUAGGUAAUUUUCAUGUUUUUCAUUAAUAAGUCUCCUGCAUAUUUAAUUAUUUUAGUUUAAGUGAUUUUAAUUUACUUUCAUGUUAAAAACCCCAAUUUGAACCAUCACUAAUUUGGUCUUAUUGUUAUUGAAGGCUUUUAUGUGCAAGAGAGCUCAAUGGAUGAUGAACUGUGCAAAAUGGCUUGAGGUAUCUCUUGAGCAUACUAUAGUAUUUUGAGUGCAACUUGAGCUACAGAAGUCUUACCACCAUAAUUCUUGGACCUCAGGAAAGAUAAGAGGAAGGGCUACAACUUUUGUGUUUAUCACUUUACCAAGUUCUGAUCUAAUUAUGGUACAAAAUGCAUUGGAAUUUGAAGGACUGUUGCAUAUUGCAAUGCAGCAAAUAGAGGGCCUAAUGCCUAGGCACCAGCCACCCAGCACCUAGGUACUGGCCACUCCUCAAACACAGCAAAAAGGGAUAGAGAGCCUAGUGCCUACGCACCAACCACUAUACUUUUAGGCUCCAGCACUAGGAAUUUUAAUUUGCACAUGCUCGAAUUUGGCAUUUGGGGCUUUUUAAAGGAUGAUAUAAAUAGGUCAUUUUAAGUGGGUUUUUGGGGGUUGGAAGCAUAGAAUAUUUUCUGGAAAAGAAAGCUUUCUACGAAAGGAGAAAAGGGGUUUGGUUCCAAAAAGUUGUAGCAAGUCAUUUCUCUCACUAGUUUUCCUUUCUCUCUGUAUUUUGUAUUGUAGAAAUGAGUUAUUUUCUAGAAAUAUUGAAUUUUGCUGUAACUAUUGUUGUCGAUUUUGCACUUGCAAGUAUACGUAUCGAGCAAGUAAUAUAAUGAUGAA